GGUCCUGUGUCCGAACGGCCAGGUGCUCGACUGCAAAUCGAGCUAUUCGGGUUCGAAUCCCGACGGGACCU
This 71-nucleotide transfer RNA is filed under the name Nannocystis radixulma. Its description in RNAcentral is "tRNA-Cys". It matches the Rfam family "tRNA". From Rfam's summary of the family: Transfer RNA (tRNA) molecules are approximately 80 nucleotides in length. Their secondary structure includes four short double-helical elements and three loops (D, anti-codon, and T loops). Further hydrogen bonds mediate the characteristic L-shaped molecular structure. tRNAs have two regions of fundamental functional importance: the anti-codon, which is responsible for specific mRNA codon recognition, and the 3' end, to which the tRNAs corresponding amino acid is attached (by aminoacyl-tRNA synthetases). tRNAs cope with the degeneracy of the genetic code in two manners: having more than one tRNA (with a specific anti-codon) for a particular amino acid; and 'wobble' base-pairing, i.e. permitting non-standard base-pairing at the 3rd anti-codon position. RNAcentral also lists the same sequence under 2 other names. Lineage: Bacteria; Pseudomonadati; Myxococcota; Nannocystales; Nannocystaceae. The record is from RNAcentral.